UAUGUAGGGGGCAAGCGUUGUCCGGAAUCAUUGGGCGUAAAGCGCGCGUAGGCGGCCCGGUAAGUCCGUUGUGAAAGUCAAAGGCUCAACCUUUGAACGCCGAUGGAUACUGCCGGGCUAGAGUCCGGAAGAGGCGAGUGGAAUUCCUGGUGUAGCGGUGGAAUGCGCAGAUAUCAGGAGGAACACCAAUAGCGAAGGCAGCUCGCUGGGACGGUACUGACGCUGAGGCGCGAAAGCGUGGGGAGCGAACAGG
This 253-nucleotide ribosomal RNA is filed under the name uncultured bacterium. RNAcentral's name for it is "partial 16S ribosomal RNA". It matches the Rfam family "Bacterial small subunit ribosomal RNA", at positions 524 to 776 of the family's 1533-position model. The record is from RNAcentral.